Molecule: ribosomal RNA, 879 nt
Filed under: Burkholderiaceae bacterium
Lineage: Bacteria; Pseudomonadati; Pseudomonadota; Betaproteobacteria; Burkholderiales; Burkholderiaceae
Description: bacterial SSU rRNA
Rfam family: Bacterial small subunit ribosomal RNA
Source: RNAcentral
GAACUGAAGAGUUUGAUCCUGGCUCAGAUUGAACGCUGGCGGCAUGCCUUACACAUGCAAGUCGAACGGCAGCAUGAUCUAGCUUGCUAGAUUGAUGGCGAGUGGCGAACGGGUGAGUAAUACAUCGGAACGUGCCCUGUAGUGGGGGAUAACUAGUCGAAAGAUUAGCUAAUACCGCAUACGACCUGAGGGUGAAAGUGGGGGACCGCAAGGCCUCAUGCUAUAGGAGCGGCCGAUGUCUGAUUAGCUAGUUGGUGGGGUAAAGGCCUACCAAGGCGACGAUCAGUAGCUGGUCUGAGAGGACGAUCAGCCACACUGGGACUGAGACACGGCCCAGACUCCUACGGGAGGCAGCAGUGGGGAAUUUUGGACAAUGGGCGAAAGCCUGAUCCAGCAAUGCCGCGUGUGUGAAGAAGGCCUUCGGGUUGUAAAGCACUUUUGUCCGGAAAGAAAUGGCUCUGGUUAAUACCUGGGGUCGAUGACGGUACCGGAAGAAUAAGGACCGGCUAACUACGUGCCAGCAGCCGCGGUAAUACGUAGGGUCCAAGCGUUAAUCGGAAUUACUGGGCGUAAAGCGUGCGCAGGCGGUUGUGCAAGACCGAUGUGAAAUCCCCGAGCUUAACUUGGGAAUUGCAUUGGUGACUGCACGGCUAGAGUGUGUCAGAGGGGGGUAGAAUUCCACGUGUAGCAGUGAAAUGCGUAGAGAUGUGGAGGAAUACCGAUGGCGAAGGCAGCCCCCUGGGAUAACACUGACGCUCAUGCACGAAAGCGUGGGGAGCAAACAGGAUUAGAUACCCUGGUAGUCCACGCCCUAAACGAUGUCAACUAGUUGUUGGGGAUUCAUUUCCUUAGUAACGUAGCUAACGCGUGAAGUUGACC